UGGCACAUAGCGGCGGCUAUACAUGCAGUCGAGCGGACUGAUGGGAGCUUGCUCCCUGAAGUCAGCGGCGGACGGGUGAGUAACACGUGGGCAACCUGCCUGUAAGACUGGGAUAACUCCGGGAAACCGGGGCUAAUACCGGAUAACUCUUUCCCUCACAUGAGGGAAAGCUGAAAGAUGGUUUCUGCUAUCACUUACCGAUGGGCCCCCGGCCCCAUUACCAAUUGGGGAAGGAACCGCUCACCCAGGGGACCAAGCCUUACCCAACUGAAAAGGUGAUCCGCCACCCUGGGACUGAAACCCCGGCCAAACUCCUACCG
This 320-nucleotide ribosomal RNA is filed under the name Cytobacillus firmus. Its description in RNAcentral is "bacterial SSU rRNA". It matches the Rfam family "Bacterial small subunit ribosomal RNA", at positions 37 to 344 of the family's 1533-position model. Lineage: Bacteria; Bacillati; Bacillota; Bacilli; Caryophanales; Bacillaceae. The record is from RNAcentral.